Molecule: small nuclear RNA, 165 nt
Organism: Gorilla gorilla gorilla (western lowland gorilla)
Lineage: Eukaryota; Metazoa; Chordata; Mammalia; Primates; Hominidae
Gene: U1
Rfam family: U1 spliceosomal RNA
About the family: U1 is a small nuclear RNA (snRNA) component of the spliceosome (involved in pre-mRNA splicing). Its 5' end forms complementary base pairs with the 5' splice junction, thus defining the 5' donor site of an intron.
Source: Ensembl
CUACUUAUCUGGCAGGAGAGAUACCAGGAUCACAAAAGUGGUUUUCACAGGGUGAGGCUUAUCCAUUAUAUUCCCGAUAUGCUGACCCCUGUGAUUUCCCCAAUUGUGGGAAACUUGACUGCAUAAUUUGUGGUAGUGGUGGACUGCAUUCAUAAUCUCCCACAG